Molecule: long non-coding RNA, 1932 nt
Organism: Helianthus annuus (common sunflower)
Lineage: Eukaryota; Viridiplantae; Streptophyta; Magnoliopsida; Asterales; Asteraceae
Exons: 6
Source: RefSeq, a predicted model, not a curated record
GUUCUUCAACUGAUCGACUUUAUGGAAGCUUCGACGGAAAUGUGUUUGGAUCGUUUAGCAGUCUCGGAGACUUGUCGGUGAUUCGGAGUUUCAAUUUGUCUUUAGAUCUGCCCUAAUUUCUUCAUUAUUCACAGAUAUGACACAAUUACCAGAUGGUAUGCUUAGUAAUCCACAAAUUAAGCAACCUUUUGGCUCUUUGGACGUCAUCAUGCCUUGGUAUUGUUGUGAUUACUGCGAGAUACUUACUUGACGCAUGAUUUUGUUAUACUGAUGGAAGUGCCACUGCAAUGUUAAUCAAUUGUUUCCACACUGCUACUGGUGCUGAAGCGACAAGUUAUAUAUAACAAUGGAAUAAUAUAUCCAUCAACUGGAUGGCAGAAGGAUUGAUAACUGGAAACGGAGAUCGAGAAAAAGAAAUCAACAAAGGGUACACAGUGCUUGAAAUGCUUAAAGAUGCUUGCUUGCUCGAAGACGUUGGUUCAGAUUACGUCAAGAUGCAUGAUUUAGUUAGGGAUAUGGCUAUCCGGAUAGCUAGGGAGGGCCCGAUGUUGAUAAAUAAAUCUGCAUCGAAAUUAAACCAAUUGGCAAGAGUAUGGAUCGAAAAUGUUGAGUGGGCUUCUCUGUGAUGGAUAACGGUAUUAGUAUUGUACCUGAUUAUCCAAACUGCCAGAAACUGUCUACUUUGCUUCUUCAGAGGAACCCACUUUCUAAAAACAUUCUCGAUUCGUUCUUUAUGCAGAUGUCGCAUCUUAAAGUACUUGACCUCUCUAAAACCGGCAUCAAGUCAUUACCGGAGUCGGUUUCAACUUUGUGUAGCCUUCGAGAUUCCUUCAUUAACCAUGCUUAAAGAUCUGAGAGUGUUGGACUUGUCACAUAGCCGUUUUUGGGGGUUCUUAGUGAUAUAGUCGGCUGUCAUGGAACCAAAUUUGGGGGUUCUUGGUGGUAUAUUGGGCUUUCAUGGGAAAAGAAGGCGUGUAUCCGGAAGCAUACUCAUUUGAAGGCAUUCACUGUCAAUUAGGUGAAAGAGGAAGUUGAAUCAACAAUAUAAAAACAUAUAGCUUCCAUGAGCUGGUGGAAUGACAAUUACGCAUGUGGAUGUUACGUAUGACGGGAAGUGGAUUUUGGUCACGAGCGAUGGGAAGCAAGAACGCCAUCUGGUUGCUACGGUGGGUAAAUUUAAUGUGAUAUGGAACUUCCAACAGGUGAAAGAUGGGUCCCACAAAUGCUACAGAAAUCAAGUGGGACUGAAGAGCUGCUACUGCUACAAGAUUGUCCCCAAAGACGACUUAAUUGUUGAUAGUCAUUUCAUGCACGAGAAAUUUGCAGUUAGUGAUUCACCGGAAGCCCCUCUGUUAAUUCUGUUAAACGAUAUCGUGGAAAAGUUGAUUGUACUUUAGUUGUUAGCAACUAUAUUGUUGUUAUGGAUUUAUGGCUAAGGAGAACCUGAAUGCUUGGUUUAUAUUCGAGCUCACAUGGCUUUUUGCGCUUGACCUUCCGCCCUAUAACCCUAUUGUUGUAUAUCUGCAAGAGGUGACAAAACGGGUCAAACGGUGGGUAAUGGGUCAAUACAGGUUUAGCUUGUAGCAGGCUGUUUUUCAUGUGGAGAGCCUUUGAAGAAAAGACCCCAUGUAAAUCAAUCCUGAUUCGUCGAGGUGUGUAGAUUCAGGACCCGAUAUGCUGCAGGUGAGGGAUGGAUUUAGAGAACUGUGAUUAUGUUCUAGCCUCGUGCAUCAUAAGCUGCUCAAUAUGCUGGUGCAUCUUGGUUUGGUUAAAAAUCCCGCUGCCAUGAAAUCAGUUCUCAAUUAAAGGCUUAUGGAAUCUCUUGAGGAGGUUUAAUGGAUCUAAGCGGUGGAAGAAAGUGGUGGGUGUGGCCUUUCUUAACACCUUCUAGACGAUAUGGAAGAAGCAUAGAAACGAGCUGCAGUUCAAUGG